Molecule: ribosomal RNA, 269 nt
Filed under: uncultured bacterium
Lineage: Bacteria
Description: partial 16S ribosomal RNA
Rfam family: Bacterial small subunit ribosomal RNA
Source: RNAcentral
UGUUACAAUGGGGGGUACAGAGGGCCGCUACCACGCAAGUGGAUGCCAAUCCCCAAAACCUCUCUCAGUUCGGAUUGAAGUCUGCAACCCGACUUCAUGAAGCUGGAUUCGCUAGUAAUCGCGCAUCAGCCACGGCGCGGUGAAUACGUUCCCGGGCCUUGUACACACCGCCCGUCAAGCCAUGGGAGCCGGGGGUACCUGAAGUGCGUAACCGCAAGGAGCGCCCUAGGGUAAAACUGGUGACUGGGGCUAAGUCGUAACAAGGUACC